Tachyglossus aculeatus (Australian echidna) is the source of this 138-nucleotide small nucleolar RNA. The record is from RefSeq and is a predicted model, not a curated record. NCBI's taxonomy places the organism in Eukaryota, Metazoa, Chordata, Mammalia, Monotremata, Tachyglossidae.
CCCCUCUCACGGUCACACCUGGAGAGUUUUCAGUACUCUACCAGUCUUGACUAUGAGAGGGAGAGUCAAGCAGAAGCAUUUCCAUUCCAUUCCUAGCUUGGUCAGUGACUAGCAAGUGGAAAGCAAUCUGUUACAAGU